AGUAAAAAAUUUACAGUAGGAAAAUGUUUUGCGGUCGGUCGUUAUUUUUCGCGUUUUCUAUAUAAAGAGAAAAAUCGAUGAUUUCUUGACAAAAACGCUAAGAAAGAUCGUCGAUCAUGAGAGAAAAAUGGAAUUUUAUUUUGUACCUAGUGUGGUUUUCUUAUUUAAUUUUAUCAGCUAUUCUUAUGUUCGGUCAUGGUUUCUUGUUGUCUCGAAAGACGUUGAGCGAUGUUUCAGAGUGCGUGCCACUGAAUAAGUUCAACUGUGAUGGUCGGGAAAUAGGAAAUUCAACGUAUUAUUCGAGUUGCACGAAUGAUGUGAAGAUUCGUCGUAUUUUGGCGAACCCUGGAGUGCCAGUGGUGUGCGCGCCUACUCGGCAUAGAGUUCUGUUUGUGCUGGUGGAUGCGCUGCGGUAUGAUUUUACGGACUACGAUGAGGGGCUGGAGAAACCAUUGCAUUAUCAGAACAAGCUGCCGGUGCUGCGGGAGACGCUGGCGCGCUGGCCGGAGCGCACCCGCUUGUUCCGGUUCAUGGCGGACCCGCCCACCACCACGCUGCAGCGCGUGAAGGCGCUCGUCACCGGAUCGCUCCCGACGUUCAUCGACGCCAGCUCCAAUUUCGCAGCAAUGGAGUUGCAGGAAGAUAAUAUCAUUGACCAGGUUACAAAAAGUGGUGGGCGUGCUGUCCUUUUAGGAGAUGACACAUGGUCCCGUUUGAUGCCUGGGAAGUGGUUGCGGUCACAUGCUCAGUACUCCUUCCACACAUGGGAUCUUGACACCGUUGACUUAGAAGUGGACUCGAAAAUUUAUGACGAAUUAAAGAAAGAUGAUUGGGACCUCCUUGUUGCACACUACUUGGGGGUUGACCACGCUGGGCACAGGUACGGUCCCAACCACCCUGAGAUGGCACGGAAACUCAACGAAACCAACAACAGACUACAAAAGAUACUGAAGAUAUUGCCUCCUGACGUACUACUGUAUGUAGUCGGUGACCAUGGAAUGACAGACUCUGACUCACAAGAAUGGAAAGAUUCAAGUGGUGACCACGGAGGGGAAAGCCGGGCAGAGAGAACAGCUGGACUGUUUGCGUACAGAGGGCUAGGUCUGGGAGGGAAUGAGGCAGACAUAGAAACAGGCAAGGAGGUACAGCAGACAGACCUGGCACCGACAGUGAGCGCAGCCCUAGGCAGGCCUCCGCCCGCGCCGUCGCUAGGCAACCUCCUCUUUCCAAUCCUGCCAGCUAUGCCGUCCACUGAAACACUUCUGCUUGUUACCAAUAAUUUGAAACAGAUAACAAACUACCUCGUGCGUUAUGGAGAAGAAUCUCAACAAAUUCCUCUGGAGAAGCUCGCUCAAUUAAUUAACGCUACUAGGGACCAACUUAGUAAAUCGUCGGGAGUACAGACACCUGAUGACCUCAACAACUAUGUAUCUGAAGUUAGAAUACUCAUUGACAAUAUACGCAGCGUUUUUCGUGAAGUUUGGGUAGAAUUCGAUUCCCUUUCCAUGCUUAGAGCAUUGUUGCUCCUUCUAUUGGCCAUCUUCUUUAACUGGCUGAUCACUGAAGGCCUUCCCAUGGAGCGUCUGCCAAGCGUUUUCGCCAGCUCCUUCGUUCCUACAGGAUAUAUAUCAAUGGCUGUAUGUGUAGGACUUUGUUAUACUGGUUAUUAUAUGGAGAUUAUUGAAGAUUUAGAACAUGCUGUAAUAUUAAGCACCGGUUUAGUGUCCGGCGCAGUGAUAUGUACAUUAAUAAUAAUGCAUUGGGAUGGUAUUAGUCAGAGGUGGUACGAAGGAAGAUCUCUAUUUUAUGAGCGGUUUUCGCGAGCGGCUCUUGUUGGCUCGGCCGCUGUGUUAGCAUCAAAUAGCUACGUUAUUGAAGAGGGUGCGGGUCUCUCGUAUCUGACUCUGACUGUGUUAGCACUUAUGGCGUGGAAUGUGGGGACAGUGAAGGCGUUAGUUAUAUGGGUGGGAUGCGGUAUUAUUCUGGGACUCUCGCGGCUGUAUAGGGGUUGUAGAGAAGAGCAAGGAGAUUGUUGGACUUCGGGGGGCGGGGUGAAUAGUGGGCAGGCUUCGAGACUGGCGCUAGUACUGGCUCUGGGGUCAAUGGCCGCGGUCGUGGCGGUAGCCAGACGGCAUAUUGGCUGGCGCGGGCAUGGUAUUGUGUUGGCUGGAUUGUUUGCUUGCGCGCAUUGGGCCGUUGGUUGGGGCUCGUUGGGUUCGCCUGCUCGUUCGCGACUGUUGGCUCGGGGCGCUUGGCUGGUGUUGGCGGCGAUGUUCGCCCUUCUUUGGCGGAAGGAUAGGAGCGGUCCGACGUUACCGCUGAUAGCGUGCGGCCUGCUGUUGUACAUAGCGAACACGCUGGUGCUCGGAGCCUCGUUUGCACCGGCGGCGGCGCUUGCGCUGGUGUCAGCGUUCCUGGCGCUCAACAUGGUGUCCUCCUUGAAGAGUGACGGAACAAUUAAAUUCUCAAUAUCAACUCGGUGCAGUUCAAGCGUGGCUUGCCUGUGGGCGUUACUAGCGUCUUACCAGUUCUACGGCAUGGGCCACCACGCGACACUGGGCCACGUGCGCUGGUCCCCCGCCUUCCACGCCGGAGACCCCCACUACUUACCAGACUCGCCAUUCAAUGUGGCCCCCUACGUCACCGGGUCUCUGGUGUUCCUUGAUCUCUUUGGCAUGCCGCUGAUGUUCGGCGCGGCGGUGCCGCUGCUGGUGCUAUGCGGCCGCUCGCAGCUGGGUGCGCGCACGCAGCUCGCCGCUGUCUUCACGCUGUGCCUCAAGUUCGCGCUCUGCUUCGUUGUCAGGGUGUUCGCGUGCGCGAUAUCAGCAACAAUCCACUGCCGGCACCUGAUGAUCUGGGGCGUGUUCACCCCGAAGCUGCUGUUCGAGUGCGGCGCGUGCGCGGCCGCGCUGCUGGGCUGCGUGCUGGGCGCGGCGCUGGCGGCGCACCAGCUGCCCGCCGACCACCGCAGCAGUUGACACUGACGCAGUCACUGAUGGGGGCGCAGGGGGGAUGGAGGGGACAAAUUGUUUAGUUGAUGUUUUUAUUCGGUAUAUAGGCGGUCGCAUGAUAUAAGAAAACCAGGAAUGCUCGAUCCUAUGGCAAGCCGCCAUUGAUAGCCCUUUGAUGACGUAAGUGUUGCCAUUAAAAUGGUAUCUCCAACAUUGCAAGGAUGUAAAUUUUAUUAUUGAAAAUUAAAAUGAAUUUACUGACUAAUGUAUUUAAUUACUAUUACUUGUCUCAUAUAUAAAAAAAAUUGAACUGUAAAUAAAUAAUUUACUAAAAGUUCAAAAUUUCAUUGCAAAGUAAAUAUAAAAACAUUGGUCGUGGGUAAUUUAUUUAUUACGAAAUGGCAAUACAGGGCGGGAUGACGACAGCUGGGCUGACCUUGAAAUGUUAGCUGUCAGUUUCGAGCAUACCUGAUUUUCUUAUACCAUGGGCGGUCGAACGAAGCAGUCUGUGUUAUCAAGACAUAAUCUUAGAGUUUGCAAGGCUAGAGUGUAAUAAGUUGAUUGAGAGGCCUGUGGGACUCCAGGCCGUUUAUGUAUAAUUGCUGUUGGGUCAACUCAGCAGAGGACUGCAUGGCACAGACUGUCUACAUAGACGCGAUAUAUACCGCAAACUUCGAUCAUUCGAUCGACAAUGGUGCCAGUUUUGGCAGACACAAACUUAAUUAGUUUGACAGCUUUUAAACUAGUGCCGUCCUUCACUUACAAUAAGUACAAGAAAGAGAUGGAGCUAGUUUUAGUCCUGUCAAAUUAAGUUGACGGUUGCCCGAAUUGGCACCAUUCAGAGUUAAAAAAAAACACCUAUAAUUUUAGAAUUGACUAAUGUCAACUGUCUAGCUUCACAAAAUAUGACUCAUUUUAGAAGCUCGACGCUUAUUUAACUAGUUUACGAUUGAGUGCUUCCUCCAUUUUACUCUGGCUUGAUGUAAAUACUAUUGAAAAUCGACAAGUUUACCUUAUUCUUUAGUUUGAAUAAUAUUUUUCUCAUGUUUUGACGAAAUCUAAUGUUGAAAGGUCAGAUAGGUAGUCGCUUCUGUAAAAAAUCGGACCUGUCAAAGAUUCAGGUUAGGUAAGCGGACCCUGUGAAAAACGGGAUAAUGCUAGGGAGAU
RNAcentral lists this unclassified non-coding RNA (4118 nucleotides) under Pectinophora gossypiella (pink bollworm). RNAcentral's name for it is "gPI ethanolamine phosphate transferase 3". The record is from RNAcentral. Lineage: Eukaryota; Metazoa; Arthropoda; Insecta; Lepidoptera; Gelechiidae.